This 252-nucleotide ribosomal RNA is filed under the name uncultured bacterium. RNAcentral describes it as "partial 16S ribosomal RNA". It matches the Rfam family "Bacterial small subunit ribosomal RNA", at positions 524 to 776 of the family's 1533-position model. The record is from RNAcentral.
UACGUAGGGGGCAAGCGUUGUCCGGAUUUAUUGGGCGUAAAGCGCUCGCAGGUGGUUCGUCGCGUCGUGCGUGAAAGACCCCGGCUCAACUGGGGAGGGUCGUGCGAUACGGGCGAACUGGAGGCCAGUAGGGGGAUGCGGAAUUCCGGGUGUAGUGGUGGAAUGCGUAGAGAUCCGGAGGAACACCAGCGGCGAAGGCGGCAUCCUGGACUGGUCCUGACACUCAGGGCGAAAGCGUGGGGAGCGAACCGG